RNAcentral lists this ribosomal RNA (254 nucleotides) under uncultured prokaryote. Its description in RNAcentral is "partial 16S ribosomal RNA". It matches the Rfam family "Bacterial small subunit ribosomal RNA", at positions 524 to 777 of the family's 1533-position model. The record is from RNAcentral.
UACUGAGGAUGCGAGCGUUAUCCGGAUUUAUUGGGUUUAAAGGGUGCGUAGGCGGCUUUUUAAGUCAGCGGUGAAAUUUUGCAGCUUAACUGUAACAGUGCCGUUGAUACUGGGGAGCUAGGAUUUGGUUGCUGUGGGUGGAAUGUGUGGUGUAGCGGUGAAAUGCUUAGAGAUCACACAGAAUAUCGAUUGCGAAGGCAGCUCACAAAGCCAAGAUUGACGCUGAGGCACGAAAGUGUGGGGAUCAAACAGGA